AAAAGCAGAGACAUCAUUUUGCUGACAAAGGUUUGCAUAGUCAAAAGUAUGAUUUUUCCAUUAGUCAUGUAUGGAUAUGAGAGUUGAACCAUAAAAACUGAGCACUGAAGAAUUUCUGCUUUCAAACUGUGGUCCUGUAGAAGGCUCUUGAGAGUCCCUUGGACAGCAAAGAGAUCAAACCAGUCAAUNNNNNNNNNNNNNNNNNNNNNNNNNNNNNNNNNNNNNNNAUACUUUGGCCACCUGAUGUGAAGAGCUGACUGAUUGGAAAAGACCCUGAAGGCACAAGAAGAAGGGGGCAGCAGAGGAAGAGAUGGUUAGAAAGCAUCACUCAAUGAACAUGAAUCUAAGCAAACUCCAGGAGAAAGUGGAGGAUAGAGGAGCCCGGCACACUGCAGUCCAUGAGGUCGCAGAGUUGGACAGGACUUAGUGACUGAACAACAACAACAGGAAGCUGCAUACUUAGUCACUGAUCAGAACAAGCCGCACCCUUCCACGCUUUGUUUACCAUUUCUGUUUUCCCUAUUUAUUGUUUUAAAUUGAUUUUCCAUUUCUCUAGUGAGCAUCAUGUUCCAAGCAAAGCUGGGAAAUUCAGUUUAUAUACACACUACCGACAUCAGUUUUUCUAUCAGGAGUUAUUGAAUAUGAAUAGGAUGUACAGCAGGAAGGAAAAGAAUUCAGUAGAAGUGGAGAGGCAUGUGGACUUGGAGGGGAUAAACCUGAAGCAUGCUGUUGCUCUUCUGCAGCCCAUUCCAGCUGCGUAGAGGAGGUGAAAGGAGCCAUCAACAUGCCCUGGAACCUCUGCCGCGGUUGCCAUAAAAGGAAGAGUCACGUACGACCUCUCUUUGAAGUACUGAAAGAAAAAAGAGAAACAAACACCUGACAUGAGCUAUAUCAUUACCUUGGUUUAACUGAUACUUAAAAACUGUCCUCUGUUGUUAUCAUUUUUUGAAACUGAGCUCUAUCAUAUCUUAGCUACAACCUAUGAGAAAACUCUAAGAGGAAAUCCCAGGAAGAAUUGACUUUUCAAUCUUCCGUCUUUCAAUUUCUUUGCUUGCAAAUAAAAUUAGUAUUAGAGGCCUUAGAACAAAAUCAGUACUACUCAUAUCCUGCUUAGGUAAGCCAGAUGACAUACUUGUUUAUUCAGAAACUGAAAGUUCCUUUCACUUUUAUUAUUUUCCAGCCUAGGGUUUCAAANNAUCCUUGAAUAGUUCUCAAAUAAAUGGGAAUUUACCAUGGCGGUGCAUACACCCAGAGGU
RNAcentral lists this long non-coding RNA (1256 nucleotides) under Capra hircus (goat). RNAcentral's name for it is "lncRNA (ENSCHIG00010028360.1)". Lineage: Eukaryota; Metazoa; Chordata; Mammalia; Artiodactyla; Bovidae. The record is from RNAcentral.